Molecule: non-coding RNA, 1124 nt
Organism: Punica granatum (pomegranate)
Lineage: Eukaryota; Viridiplantae; Streptophyta; Magnoliopsida; Myrtales; Lythraceae
Source: RefSeq, a predicted model, not a curated record
UCCUUCUCCUUGCCCGCGCCCGCCAAAUCCGCAAGCACCUAGCGGCCACCUCUCCCUGUGCCUUCUUUGUAAUAGACUGGACAGAUCGACAAGAGCAGAACAAGGAAGGAAGGCAAUAGCACAGUAGCACGUUAAGAGAAGAAGAAGGGGAGAAGAAGACUUGGGGAAGAAGAUGAACUCAGAAGAAGGCGGAUGAUAUUACUUUUUCUCACAUGAUGAUUGACGAUACAUGCUGCUCUUCACCCGCAGACAUUCCCUUCUGACAAACUAACUUUGGAUAUUUAAUAAAGAAAGUCCCUCAGUUCUUAACGUUCUUACUAUUUCCCCUUGCAUUUAUUUAACAACCAUUGGGCCUCAUUACAUAAGUUUGUUCCCUAACAUUCUUGUUCCCUUCUUCAUCCUCCCCUGCACGAUUUUGACUUUGCGCUUCUGUUCUUCCCCCCCUAUGCUCUUCCGCCUACCAAUUCCACCCUCCCUCCGCUCUUGUUCCUUCGUCGCAUACAGACGGUGCUGUUGCGAUCCUUCCCCACCCAGAUGCCUUGACAUCUAGAAUCAAUUGGAUUCAUUCACAGGGGCUUUGGAUGUUUUUGAGAAGUGAAGGUUGGACCCUGAGUAUGAGCCCAAAACACAACCUUUUAAAGAGGACCCUCGGCUUGAAAGGGCUCGUAAAUCGGGACUGGUGCUCAGAGCACCUUCGGGGACAGCUGAUAAAAGGCUGCUGAAUACCUCAAUGAAAUUGGAUGUAGCUUGGCAAGUAUCAUCUAUUCCUGUUUCUAUUUUUUCUGAAAUCUUAAUGAUCAGUGUUCUCGGAGUAUAACUAGAGGUUCAUUACUUCGGACUUCGACGUUGAAGAAGACAGGAAUAAGGCGCUUCUUUUGUUCCAAUUCCAAGCAUUCCUAGACAAGAAGAAACGUAUCAGAAGGGCAGCAGAACCUGCUGGCAUUCCUUGCAUUGCUGCGAAUUUGCUUAGUGUGCACAUUUUGUUAAUUAUCUUUUCCAUCCAUCAGAACAUAGGAAUGCUGUGAUCGUUUAUGGAACUGGCGAUGCAAAGGGUACAACAUCUUCUGUUUAACAUUAGGAAGAUUUGUUAUUUAGCUCGACUAUGUUACCGCAUUUGAUUUUCA